Molecule: ribosomal RNA, 366 nt
Filed under: Triticum aestivum (bread wheat)
Lineage: Eukaryota; Viridiplantae; Streptophyta; Magnoliopsida; Poales; Poaceae
Description: partial small subunit ribosomal RNA
Source: RNAcentral
AUGGCUGGCCUCCAUUUCAAGUGCUUCGAAGAAGGACACUUCAAGAAAGACUGCACCAACACACGGUCGUCUGCUACUGCUGCAAGCGGCCCGACCACGAGCCCAAGGAGUGCAAGCGCCCACGGAGCCCCUUGCUGGAGGAAGACCUCAUGCAGCAAUCUGUUGCCAAGGUCGCUCGCCGCGACCCGGUACCGCCUAUUUGCAGCCGGGCGGGGGCCGCACCCGUUCCGCCCCCACCACUGCUGUCGGCAGCUGUUGUACUCGCGGUCUGGCCGUGUCUCAUUGCCCCCGCAUGGAGAGCGUUCCGUUCGAGGAGGCGAGCCCGCUGGACCUCUAAAUCAUCCGGUGUUCGUCCAUCAUGGGUGA